This 424-nucleotide ribosomal RNA is filed under the name uncultured archaeon. RNAcentral describes it as "partial 16S ribosomal RNA". It matches the Rfam family "Archaeal small subunit ribosomal RNA", at positions 323 to 746 of the family's 1478-position model. The record is from RNAcentral.
CUACGGGUUGCAGCAGUCGCGAAUCUUUUACAAUGCACGAAAGUGUGAUAAAGCGAACCAAAGUGUUUUUCGUAUAGAAAAACUUUUGCUCACUGCAAAAAUGUGGGCGAAUAAGGACUGGGAAAGAUCGGUGCCCAGCCGCCGCGGUAAUACCGACAGUUCAAGUCGCAUCCUUUUUUAUUGGGUCUAAAACAUCCGUAGCUUGCCUACUAAGUCUCUUGUGAAAUCCUACGUCUCAAGCGUGGGGCUUGCAGGAGAUACUGGUGGGCUAGAGAUCGGUAGACGUAAGGAGUACGCCGGAGGUAGUGGUAAAAUACGUUAAUCUUCGGUGGACUAACAAUCAGCGAAGGCACCUUACGAGGACGAAUCUGACAGUGAGGGAUGAAGGCCAGGGGCGCAAAACGGAUUAGAUACCCCUGUAGUC